AUUGAACGCUGGCGGCAGGCCUAACACAUGCAAGUCGAACGGUAACAGGAAGCAGCUUGCUGCUUCGCUGACGAGUGGCGGACGGGUGAGUAAUGUCUGGGAAACUGCCUGAUGGAGAGGGAUAACUACUGGAAACGGUAGCUAAUACCGCAUAACGUCGCAAGACCAAAGAGGGGGACCUUCGGGCCUCUUGCCAUCGGAUGUGCCCAGAUGGGAUUAGCUAGUAGGUGGGGUAACGGCUCACCUAGGCGACGAUCCCUAGCUGGUCUGAGAGGAUGACCAGCCACACUGGAACUGAGACACGGUCCAGACUCCUACGGGAGGCAGCAGUGGGGAAUAUUGCACAAUGGGCGCAAGCCUGAUGCAGCCAUGCCGCGUGUAUGAAGAAGGCCUUCGGGUUGUAAAGUACUUUCAGCGGGGAGGAAGGGAGUAAAGUUAAUACCUUUACUCAUUGACGUUACCCGCAGAAGAAGCACCGGCUAACUCCGUGCCAGCAGCCGCGGUAA
This 506-nucleotide ribosomal RNA is filed under the name uncultured bacterium. RNAcentral describes it as "partial 16S ribosomal RNA". It matches the Rfam family "Bacterial small subunit ribosomal RNA", at positions 30 to 523 of the family's 1533-position model. The record is from RNAcentral.